This 497-nucleotide ribosomal RNA is filed under the name uncultured bacterium. Its description in RNAcentral is "partial 16S ribosomal RNA". It matches the Rfam family "Bacterial small subunit ribosomal RNA", at positions 28 to 507 of the family's 1533-position model. The record is from RNAcentral.
GACGAACGCUGGCGGCGUGCCUAAUACAUGCAAGUAGAACGCUGAAGGAAGGAGCUUGCUCUUUCUGGAUGAGUUGCGAACGGGUGAGUAACGCGUAGGUAACCUGCCUGUUAGCGGGGGAUAACUAUUGGAAACGAUAGCUAAUACCGCAUAAUAUUGAUUAUUGCAUGAUAGUCAAUUAAAAGGUGCAACUGCACCACUACCUGAUGGACCUGCGUUGUCUUAGCUAGUUGGUGGGGUAACGGCUCACCAAGGCGACGAUACAUAGCCGACCUGAGAGGGUGAUCGGCCACACUGGGACUGAGACACGGCCCCGACUCCUACGGGAGGCAGCAGUAGGGAAUCUUCGGCAAUGGACGGAAGUCUGACCGAGGAACGCCGGGUGAGUGAAGAAGGGUUUCGGAUCGUAAAGCUCUGUUGUAAGAGAAGAACGAGUGUGAGAGUGGAAAGUUCACGCUGUGACGGUAUCUUACCAGAAAGGGACGGCUAACUACGUG